Molecule: ribosomal RNA, 253 nt
Filed under: uncultured Eubacteriales bacterium
Lineage: Bacteria; Bacillati; Bacillota; Clostridia; Eubacteriales
Description: uncultured Clostridiales bacterium partial 16S ribosomal RNA
Rfam family: Bacterial small subunit ribosomal RNA
Source: RNAcentral
UACGGAGGAUGCGAGCGUUCUCCGGAUUUACUGGGUGUAAAGGGAGCGUAGACGGUACGCCAAGUCUGAAGUGAAAUGCCGCAGCUUAACUGCGGAACUGCUUUGGAAACUGGCGGGCUAGAGUGCGGGAGGGGUAAGCGGAAUUCCUAGUGUAGCGGUGAAAUGCGUAGAUAUCAGGAGGAACACCGGUGGCGAAGGCGGCUUACUGGACCAUAACUGACGUUGAGGCUCGAAAGCGUGGGGAGCGAACAGG